UGGGGAAUUUUGGACAAUGGGCGCAAGCCUGAUCCAGCCAUGCCGCGUGAGUGAAGAAGGCCUUCGGGUUGUAAAGCUCUUUCGGCGGGGAAGAAAUGGCACAGGCUAAUAUCCUGUGUUGAUGACGGUACCCGCAUAAGAAGCACCGGCUAACUACGUGCCAGCAGCCGCGGUAAUACGUAGGGUGCGAGCGUUAAUCGGAAUUACUGGGCGUAAAGCGUGCGCAGGCGGUUGUGUAAGUCAGAUGUGAACUCCCCGGGCUCAACCUGGGAACUGCAUUUGAGACUGCGCGGCUAGAGUGUGGCAGAGGGGGGUGGAAUUCCACGUGUAGCAGUGAAAUGCGUAGAGAUGUGGAGGAAUACCGAUGGCGAAGGCAGCCCCCUGGGCCAAUACUGACGCUCAUGCACGAAAGCGUGGGGAGCAAACA
Molecule: ribosomal RNA, 427 nt
Filed under: uncultured prokaryote
Description: bacterial SSU rRNA
Rfam family: Bacterial small subunit ribosomal RNA
Source: RNAcentral